Pongo abelii (Sumatran orangutan) is the source of this 149-nucleotide unclassified non-coding RNA. It matches the Rfam family "Metazoan signal recognition particle RNA". From Rfam's summary of the family: The signal recognition particle (SRP) is a universally conserved ribonucleoprotein. The record is from Ensembl. Lineage: Eukaryota; Metazoa; Chordata; Mammalia; Primates; Hominidae.
GUUGGGCAUGGUGGUGCAUGCCUAUAGUCCCAGCUACUCAGGAGGCUGAGAUGGGAGGAUUGCUUGAGCCCAGGGAGGUUGAGACUGCAGUGAGCUGAGAUCAUGCCACUGCACUCCAGCCUGGGCGAUAGAGUGAGACCCUGCCUCAA